Molecule: long non-coding RNA, 486 nt
Organism: Gasterosteus aculeatus aculeatus (three-spined stickleback)
Lineage: Eukaryota; Metazoa; Chordata; Actinopteri; Perciformes; Gasterosteidae
Source: Ensembl
UUUCUGUACUGUAUGCGACUGGAGCGACGAUUGGGAGUGUGAGAAAGAAAUGAGGCUGACUCAGCAGAAAGGGGCCACUAUGAGAAACAGAAGCUGACUGUGUACCUGCGGAAGUAUUAAUGCCAUGAACAUUAGAGCUGACCUCCGACCUGUCCUCACUCAUAAAACUCAGACUCAGAAUAUAAGCAUGCAGAAACAGCUAGAGGGGUGGAUGUAUCCGUGGUUGUAGGUCAAUGAAGUGUGAUACCAGUAAAAUGAUGGGCCCCAAUAGAAUCACCCGUAUGUACGGCUUGUUUUGUGCAUCUGAGAAAAGCUCCUUCAUUUAGUCCGUGAUCACAUCAGCUCUCACAGAGCAACAGCCAAACACACAAUCCAUAUCAGCCUCAUGAAGUAUAUUAUUUCUCCAUUACGGUGGGAGCUGAGUUAUCGUUCUUUUUCAAACUGAGGGCUCCAUGGCAAUAAACUGCUGAAGAGUUUAUAGGCCGG